This 278-nucleotide unclassified non-coding RNA is filed under the name Hevea brasiliensis (rubber tree). The record is from RNAcentral. Lineage: Eukaryota; Viridiplantae; Streptophyta; Magnoliopsida; Malpighiales; Euphorbiaceae.
GGCUGAUCGACGGCAGAGAAGCUGUCUACUUCCUGCGCCGCAUCAAGGACGUGGUUGAAGACCCACGGAGAUUGCUCCUCGACAUAUAAACUCCGCGCGCGCCACCAAUCGCAGCCUGAGAGCUGCUUUGUGCUUUGUCUGGAAAAUAAUACUGCAAAUUUUUGACUGAUACAAAGAGUUGCUUUUCUGAGAAAGACGAAAUUUGAGUUGAGGAUACCGUGAGGGGGUCUCUCUGACAAUUAUAGACGAGAGCACCAAAUCCGAAUCUUAAAUCUUAU